AACGAACGCUGGCGGCAUGCCUAACACAUGCAAGUCGAACGAGACCUUCGGGUCUAGUGGCGCACGGGUGCGUAACGCGUGGGAACCUGCCCUUAGGUUCGGAAUAACUCCCCGAAAGGGGUGCUAAUACCGGAUAAUGUCGUCGGACCAAAGAUUUAUCGCCUUUGGAUGGGCCCGCGUUGGAUUAGCUAGUUGGUAGGGUAAAAGCCUACCAAGGCGACGAUCCAUAGCUGGUCUGAGAGGAUGAUCAGCCACACUGGGACUGAGACACGGCCCAGACUCCUACGGGAGGCAGCAGUGGGGAAUAUUGGACAAUGGGCGAAAGCCUGAUCCAGCAAUGCCGCGUGAGUGAUGAAGGCCUUAGGGUUGUAAAGCUCUUUUACCCGGGAUGAUAAUGACAGUACCGGGAGAAUAAGCACCGGCUAACUCCGUG
RNAcentral lists this ribosomal RNA (433 nucleotides) under uncultured bacterium. RNAcentral describes it as "partial 16S ribosomal RNA". It matches the Rfam family "Bacterial small subunit ribosomal RNA", at positions 29 to 507 of the family's 1533-position model. The record is from RNAcentral.